AGUGAACGCUGGCGGUAGGCCUAACACAUGCAAGUCGAACGGCAGCACAGUAAGAGCUUGCUCUUACGGGUGGCGAGUGGCGGACGGGUGAGGAAUACAUCGGAAUCUACUUUUUCGUGGGGGAUAACGUAGGGAAACUGACGCUAAUACCGCAUACGACCUACGGGUGAAAGCAGGGGAUCUUCGGACCUUGCGCGAUUGAAUGAGCCGAUGUCGGAUUAGCUAGUUGGCGGGGUAAAGGCCCACCAAGGCGACGAUCCGUAGCUGGUCUGAGAGGAUGAUCAGCCACACUGGAACUGAGACACGGUACAGACUCCUACGGGAGGCAGCAGUGGGGAAUAUUGGACCAUGGGCGCAAGCCUGAUCCGGCCAUACCGCGUGGGUCAAGAAGGCCUUCGGGUUGUAAAGCCCUUUUGUUGGGAAAGAAAAGCAGCAGGUUAAUCCCCCGCUGUUCUGACGGUACCCAAAGAAUAAGCACCGGCUAACUUCGUG
Molecule: ribosomal RNA, 492 nt
Filed under: uncultured bacterium
Lineage: Bacteria
Description: partial 16S ribosomal RNA
Rfam family: Bacterial small subunit ribosomal RNA
Source: RNAcentral